Molecule: non-coding RNA, 558 nt
Organism: Meleagris gallopavo (turkey)
Lineage: Eukaryota; Metazoa; Chordata; Aves; Galliformes; Phasianidae
Source: RefSeq, a predicted model, not a curated record
CCUGAGCCUUGUCUUUGGUGUCUGGUGCCCAGUAAGUCGUGUUGUUUUAAAGCAGCGUCUCGAUUUCUGCAGCCACCAGAGCUCUCCCCCAUGCUUCUCCCUGUGAUGUGAGACCGCGUCGAAGGCCUUGCAGACGUCUGGUUGGAACCAUGGAAGUGUUACCCAGACAAAAGGAGCAUUUGUCACCUGGGCUUUCUACAAGUGACAGAGACAGCGGAAGUCAGCAUCCGAAACAGCUGCGAGAGCCCUGCAAAAGAAUGGAGAGCUAGACUUCAGCUCCUUCCUGUUUCCUGCCCAUGCGCUCCCUGCUUUGCCCGUGGCCCGGUGAGGUUUUGUUCCUCGCACCCAGCUUGGCACGUGUGGAUAAGGGCCUCUGUUUACGCACGUUCAUUUUCUGCUGGUGGUGUCAGGCUGAGUGACAGCUCACAGCUGAGCUGGUGGUUAGCGAGACGCACGAUGAUAGCUGCAGGUACAGUUCUCUGUGUCACUGACACACGAGCUUUGUGGCGGCCACGAGCCACAGAAACAGGGAGUUUGUGUUUCAUUUCUGCGUUUGCU